RNAcentral lists this unclassified non-coding RNA (350 nucleotides) under plant metagenome. Its description in RNAcentral is "partial contains 5.8S ribosomal RNA, internal transcribed spacer 2, and large subunit ribosomal RNA". The stretch from base 1 to 105 matches the Rfam family "5.8S ribosomal RNA", at positions 50 to 154 of the family's 154-position model. The record is from RNAcentral.
GAAAUGCGAUAAGUAAUGUGAAUUGCAGAAUUCAGUGAAUCAUUGAAUCUUUGAACGCACCUUGCGCUCCUUGGUAUUCCGAGGAGCAUGCCUGUUUGAGUGUCAUGGAAUUCUCAACUCUAUUUGCUUUUGUGAAUAGAGCUUGGAUUUGGAGGUUUAUUGCUGGUACUUGUGAUCGGCUCCUCUUGAAUGCAUUAGCUCGAACCUUUGCGGAUCAGCUAUCGGUGUGAUAAUUGUCUACGCCGUUGCAGUGAAGCAUAUCAAUGGGCUCGGCUUCCAAUCGUCCUUUACUGGACAAUGACUUUGACCUUUGACCUCAAAUCAGGUAGGAUUACCCGCUGAACUUAAGC